UAGAGAUUAGUCUAAUCAAGACAAUUAGUUUCGACCUAAUAAAUCUCGACCCCUCGAGAUCUCUAA
This 66-nucleotide transfer RNA is filed under the name Abronia graminea. Its description in RNAcentral is "tRNA-Arg". The record is from RNAcentral. Lineage: Eukaryota; Metazoa; Chordata; Lepidosauria; Squamata; Anguidae.